This 89-nucleotide small RNA is filed under the name Escherichia coli. RNAcentral describes it as "partial RtT sRNA". It matches the Rfam family "RtT RNA", at positions 1 to 82 of the family's 130-position model. Rfam says of the family: This family represents a bacterial cis-regulatory element known as RtT RNA. The exact function of RtT is unknown although it is thought that it may be involved in changing the cellular response in relation to amino acid starvation. Lineage: Bacteria; Pseudomonadati; Pseudomonadota; Gammaproteobacteria; Enterobacterales; Enterobacteriaceae. The record is from RNAcentral.
AUUCUGCCCAUGCGGGGAAGGAUGAGAAGCUUCGACCAAGGUUCGACUCGAGCGCCAGCGAGAGAGCGCCAGCGAGAGAGCGUUGCCGC